AGGGAUGACGGCCUUCGGGUUGUAAACCUCUUUCAGCAGGGAAGAAGCGAAAGUGACGGUACCUGCAGAAGAAGCGCCGGCUAACUACGUGCCAGCAGCCGCGGUAAUACGUAGGGCGCAAGCGUUGUCCGGAAUUAUUGGGCGUAAAGAGCUCGUAGGCGGCUUGUCACGUCGGAUGUGAAAGCCCGGGGCUUAACCCCGGGUCUGCAUUCGAUACGGGCUAGCUAGAGUGUGGUAGGGGAGAUCGNANUUCCUGGUGUAGCGGGUGAAAUGCGCAGAUAUCAGGAGGAACACCGGUGGCGAAGGCGGAUCUCUGGGCCAUUACUGACGCUGAGGAGCGAAAGCGUGGGGAGCGAACAGGAUUAGAUACCCUGGUAGUCCAAGGGCGAAUUC
This 393-nucleotide ribosomal RNA is filed under the name uncultured bacterium. Its description in RNAcentral is "bacterial SSU rRNA". It matches the Rfam family "Bacterial small subunit ribosomal RNA", at positions 404 to 808 of the family's 1533-position model. The record is from RNAcentral.